UGAGGAAUAUUGGUCAAUGGGCGGAAGCCUGAACCAGCCAAGUCGCGUGAGGGAAUAAGGCCCUGCGGGUCGUAAACCUCUUUUGCCGGGGAGCAGUGCCGCCCACGCGUGGGCGGAGAGAGAGUACCCGGAGAAAAAGCAUCGGCUAACUCCGUGCCAGCAGCCGCGGUAAUACGGAGGAUGCGAGCGUUAUCCGGAUUUAUUGGGUUUAAAGGGUGCGCAGGCGGUCCUGCAAGUCAGCGGUCAAAUCGAGGGGCUCAACCCCUUUCCGCCGUUGAAACUGCGGGACUCGAGUGGGCGAGAAGUAGGCGGAAUGCGUGGUGUAGCGGUGAAAUGCAUAGAUAUCACGCAGAACCCCGAUUGCGAAGGCAGCCUACCGGCGCUCGACUGACGCUCAUGCACGAAAGCGCGGGGAUCGAACAGG
Molecule: ribosomal RNA, 424 nt
Filed under: uncultured bacterium
Lineage: Bacteria
Description: bacterial SSU rRNA
Rfam family: Bacterial small subunit ribosomal RNA
Source: RNAcentral